AUGGACUAUUACAAAUUUCACUAGAACAAAUUACAUGCCAAAAAAGUAAUCUUAGAAGUUCUAUUUCAUCCAAAUUCAUAGAAUCAAAUUACAUGCCAAAUUAAAGUAAUCUUAGAAGUUUGAUUUCAUCCAAACUCAUAUUAUUAGUUUGCUAUAGAUGUAACUAAACGCAGCUCAAGUGGAGGGUGUACACAUUUUCUGGAUAUAUAACUUCUAAUAAUCGCCACCGGAAAUAGAUAAGCUGCAAGAAUGCACUUCAUCAGCUUAGCAUUUAGCAACACACAUAUAUAUGCAAUUUUCUUAUUAAAUCGAAGGACUAUAUAUAGAGGGUGUUUGGAGAAGCUGAGCUUAUAAGUUUCAAUAACGCAUAAUAUGUUUCAAGAGUUUAUAAGUUGUCAAAGUGUUUAAAUAAUUGAGCUUAUGAAUUAGACAAAAAAGCGUACCCCAGCUUGAGAGCAGUAUCAUCGGAGACGCUCAUGUCCUCGGAAAAGCCAUAGGAAUUGGAGAUGGACUCAACUGAACUUCCUUGCUGAAUACAAAAUUAUUAAUUCAACUACUACAUACCUCCAUGAAACUCACAGACGAGAUCCUCUAUUUCAAAAUCGUGUUUCAUGAAAUCCCUUGUUCCAACUGUUCAAUUGCCAUGAGAUUCUUAAACAUACAAUUUGAACAGUUGGAAUAAGAGAUGAAACACGAUUUUGCAAUAGAGGAUCUCGUCUGAGAAAAUUGAGACAACUUGCAACCAAGCGUGCGCGUUGUAUAUGUAUUACCUCAUCAACUUGCUGUUUCAGCAUCGCGUUUUCUUCCAACAGUUCGAUUUCCUGCAUUCUUGAAAAAUGUUGUUAGGAAAUUAAAUAAAAGCCUUAGAAUUCCUUUUUUUUUUAAAAUAUAUUUAUCAACUAAUAUAAGACAUAUAUAGGUUUUGGACGUGCCCUCGUCUUGAGCUUGCUGAUCUCGUUCAUAAGCAUGUUUUUCUGCAAUCCAUAUGGCAACACUUAGCUUGUCAAAUCAACAAAUAAAAACAACAACAAGAAAUAUUAAGAGGACGUAAGUUUAUUUUUCAUGAUUGAUAAGAUACACAUAUAUGAUUGAGUAUUUGUAUCCACAUUACUAUGAUCAUUUCUCCAAUUAAUCCUAUCAUUUCAUUGGAUUUAAGAUCUUACUAGCAAUGCACGACAAAUAUAAUAAAUACCAACUCAAUUAUCAUAUUUAUAAAAAUAAUAAAUAAAAUAAUUUUAACUGAAUAUAUUUGAGCUGAAUAUUAAAAAAUUAAAGAUGAAAGAGGAGAGAGAGGAGACAAGUUUCUCAAAUUUUAAUCUUUAAAUAAAUAUAAUUUUUACAUUUUAAAUCCAAUAUUUACAUAACAUGUGUCAAAUUAAAGCUCUUAUCAUGAUCUUUAACUUGAUAUGCAUAUAAAAAUAUUUUAUAAUUAAUCGAAUUUUAUAAUUUUAGAAAAGAAAUAAUAGAAAAAUAAGAAGUUAAAGAAAAAUAAAAUAUAUAUACUAUAAAUAACCUUCAAUUUCAUUAUAACUACAAAAUUGCCACUCAAUUUUGAAAUUAAUUUUAAAUUGAGAGUUGUCUUUCUAAUAUAUUAUAGAUUAUAGAGUAUAGACUAUAUAUAGAUUAAUUAUAGAUUUGUGACAUUAUAUAUUACGUAUAAACGAAGGAAAUGUGGAAAUUCUAAAGGCUCUAAUAUUAGUGUGUAUAUUUUCCUUUAUUAUAUACAUCACACUAUAACGGAUCUGAAUUGUUCGGUAAAAUAUUAAUCAAACAAAAUUAGCUCAUCAAAUCAUAUAACUUAUCAAAGACCUUAAUUAGGUUAUUUCAAAAAUUUCCAAUCCAUUUCAAUAAACAAUGAAUUAAUUAACUUAAUACUAUUUCUUUAUAUAGAUCGAUAUUAAUCCUCAAAAGUAAACGCCCCUCAUUAACAAGAAAUUUAACCUUUUUUUUCCCAACGCGGCCCAUUGCCGACUCCACCACCCUCUCCAGCCUUUGCAGUUCAUUCACGUCGAGCCCUUGGAGCUCUUGUCCAUGAAGUUGCCUAUGUAUAUAUAUACAAAAGGGUGCUGGUUUUGCUUUUCUUUUUUCAAUUAAUGUGCAAUAUUGAUAAAUAAAACUAUAAUAGUACUUAAUCAUUGGUAUAUACUUUAAUAUAUACCUGAGCUCAAGGGUGAGUUCAUUGAUGAUCGCAUCAUAGUUGUCGCCUCCCGCCUGAAAAUGUGAGUAAAUAAUACACAUAAAAACUUAUAAUAAUAUACGAAACAAUUAAUAACAUAGUUUAAUAGGAAGGAGAGCUAUUUAAUUAUUUAAAUAGUAUCAUAUAAUUAUAAAUUAAGCUCAAUGUUAUUACAAACUUUGAUUACCUGCAGAUUGUUGAGGCGCUUGCUAUAGCUAUCCUCUGAUUGCAGGUUAAGCCUUUGGAUGAUUUGCGUAAUGCUUCAAAAUAGAGACAGCCAAAUCAUGAAAUACUCUUGCAUAUUGGAGUAUUAUAUUUCGAUCUAAUUAACUUCAUAUAAUUAAUUUAAUAAAAAUGAAUUUUGAUGUUUUUAUAAUUUUAUAAAGUUAGUGAUCUAAAAUAACAAUUUACGAAGUAUUAGAAUCUAAAAUAAAAGCAUAUUUUAAAAUAUAAAAUAUGAACUAUUUUCAGCCCUUAGAUCAUCAAGAUCUACAAUUGAUUCAUCACUUUGUUUGAUGAAUUCAUGGUCCAGAGUUCGAAUCUCAUACGUAAUAAAAAAUGUAUAAAACAAAUUCAUACAUGUUCACAUAUAUAUUCCUAUUUUAUACAUUUACACACAUUUCCAAUAUCUGCAUCUCAUCAUUUCCCUCAACCCUAAAUUAACUUCUAUACUUUAAAUUGAUUGACUAUGCAUGCUUCUUAUCUACUUUAUAUUAAAUGAAUAUGACAAGGAACCGGUAAAGGAUAUUUGUUAAUAAAGUAGAAAUGCACUUUGUGAUGUCCAUAUAUAUACAUAUCAAACAUUAUAUAGAAUGCGGCUACAAUAUACCAUGCAUGUCCUUUGUAUUUUACUAUUAAUUCACAAAUACAAAAAUAGUUACUCCUUAUGCAGGGCCGGCUCUGAGGGCGGGCGAGUCUAGGCGACGGCCCCAAAAUUUUUAAUAUAUCCCAUUAGUUAUAGGCCUUAUGUAUACUAAAAAAAUACUUUCAAACCCGUGCCACCCUCUCUUAAGUCAUAUUUUCGUGGAUGGAGGGAGUAUAUCCUUUGUGUUUGUAAGAACGUGUAUGUGUGUGCGUGUGUGUGUGUGCGAGAGAGAGAGAGAGAACCUAGAGCUGGAGUAGUCGAAGAGCUUUCCGGUGGCCGAGAAAACAAUGAGAGCAAUCUCAGCAUCGCAGAGAGUGGCGAGCUCUUGAGCUUUCUUGAAAAGCCCUCUUCUCCUCUUCGAGAAAGUCACCUGCCUCGUUGGCAAGUUAUCGAUCUUCUUUAUCUGAAUCUUCUGCCUCACCAUCUUCCUAAAGAGAGAGAGAGAGAGAGAGGGGUCUUUGAGAAAGAGGGCUAGAAAUAGGUAAAAACACAGAAACUUAAACCCUUCUUACCCUAAAAUUACUAAACUUUUACAAAUUCAGAUAUAUUUAUUCAUAUGUAGAAAUAGGUGAGACAAGAAUAAUUCAAUAUUUUGAGAAUCAGUUUGCCUUGCAAAGAGGAAGCCAAACUGCCAAAGCCACCAACCCUAGAGAGCGAGAGAGAGAGAAGUAAAAGCAAAUCUGAUUAUCAUCAGCCCAUAUGGAUAUGAUAUGUGAUAGUGGAAAAUUAAAUGUGAGCGUGACUUAACGUAGAGUUUUGGUGACUCCACUUAUGCAUCUUUAUGGGAAGGACAUAAAUGCAAAUAGCAGAAGUUAGAAGGGGUGGAGAGUUAAGUUUACUACAGCUAACUCAGUUAUGCAUUCGUGUGAAUUUUCAUGCAUGAUGAUGCGUAAAAUUAAGAGUGAUAGUUUAUUGAUUGUGUAAAUUGUGAGUAAGAACUAGAAAAGAGGGAGGGUGAUGAACACAGCUAGAGUAUUGCUCCAUCUUGAGUCUAUACUUCUAUAUAUUCUUGAUCGAUAGUAAUUGAAUUCUUCUCUCCGCUCGUGGGUGUAGGAUCUUUGGAUUUGAACCACGUAAACACUUGUGUUACUAGCUGCCUCUCACGGUCGACCCUUCGGGGCAAGGGCCUAGCUAGGUACUUGGAUCUGAACCACGUAAACACUUUGCAUGUAGAAUAUUGAAUUCUUCUCUCCGCUCGUGGGCGUAGGACUCUUUGGAUCUGAACCACGUAAAAACUUGUGUUACUAGCUGCCUCUCACGGUCGACCGUCGACCCUUGGGGGCAAGGGCCUAGCUAGGUACUUGGAUCUGAACCACGUAAACACUUUGCAUGUAGAAUAUUGUUGAUUAUAUUGGUUAUAGUUGCUUCAGCCUAAAGAAGUUUUUUAUUCAAAACUAAAAUUGAAAAAAUCAUAUACUCCCUCCGUCCGCCAAGAUUAUGUAAAAAUUACUAUAUUUGGCGUCCGUCAAGAUUAUGAAUUCUUCUCUCCGCUCGUGGGUGUAGGAUCUUUGGAUCUGAACCACGUAAAAACUUGUGUUACUAGUUGCCUCUCACGGUCGACCGUCGUAGGGCAAGGGCCUAGCUAGGUACUUGGAUCUGAACUACGUAAACACUUUGCAUGUAGAAUAUUGUUGAUUAUAUUGGUUAUAGUUGCUUCGGCCUAAAGAAGUUUUUUAUUCAAAACUAAAAUUGAAAAAAUCAUAUCUGUGUUAUAAUAUGUCUCAAGAAAAGGUUAAUUAAAUGAGUUAGCGAUUUUAUGCAUUGAACAUGAGGUAUUGAAAAAGCUUGAUCUUGAAGAGGUUAUUGAUAAUUUAAUUCACUUCUCAAAAUGUUAGAAGAUCUAAUUUAUUUCUAUAACUAUUUGAUUAUUAUUUUAUGAUAUAUUACACUUUAUAGUAAUGUUACAAUUGUGUAGCUAUUUCGAGCAGUUUGCUACAAAAUUGUUGAAACUUCAUUUUUUAGGGCCCUUUUUUCCCUUUUCACCUAGGAAUGUCAGGGGCGGCCUUGGUUACUGUUUUCGAUUUUAGUUUAAUUUCCGUUUUGAUUGCAUUGCUCGUAUAAUCUUGAGCUAUAUAUACUUGAGAUCGCAAUUGGAUCUUGAAUCUACACUUAUAAAUUCAAGAUCCAAUUUUUGUUUUUCUUCGAAAUGUGGGAAAUGAAUGUUUAUUUAUCUCAUUGAUCAUGAUUAAAAACUUUAAUUUUAAGAAAUUACAAAUUGUUGGAGCCUAAAAACUUUUUAAACUAAAUAUAGUGAAACAUCCUCUAACUCAUGCAUAAUAUAUGUAUUAAUCUAAUGAUAAAAUAGUUAAUGUUUGAGGUCAAAAGCUAAGUUUGAAGUGAGCUACAAUCAAAUUUUUCUAACAAAAGAUGUUAAAAUAAAAAAAUAUAAAGUAAAAAAAAUUAUUGGUUAGAGAGUACUUAAUUCAGAUUUUAAAUUUGAGUACAUCGUGUUGUCACGAUUAAGUUUAAUACCUCAAUUCAAGGAGCUGUCCAAAAUAAAUUAUGUCUGCCAAAUGUUAGACCCUACAUGAAAGGGAGCUAUCUAUUACAUAUUCUUACACCUAAAAAUUGAUACUUGUGAAUUUAGCCACCAAACUUACAUUACUCUUUCCAUCCACCAAAAAGUUUAUAUUUAGUGAAUUUAGGAGCUAAUUAUUUAAACAAAACCACAAUUUUCAGUGUUUUCAGAAAAAUGAUUAUAUGUUACGAAAUUUGAAAAUGAACCGGGAAUUAUAGAUCAUUUUUUUAAUAUUUACACUCCUAUUAAUUACUACAUCAAAAUAGAGACUAUAACUUUCAUCAUUUUCAAAUUCUGUAACAUACAGUAGUUCUUUUUUUGAAAACACUGAAAAUUACACUAGCUCGUGAAUUUAGCCAUAAAAUAUACAUUGCUCAUUCCUUCCACAAAUUUGUACCACAACUAUUUUAUUCAAUAUUUUUGAAAUGUAUAUUACUCCCUCCGUCCCAACUUUUAGCAUCCACACAUUUUUUUGUCAUCCCAUAUUUUGGUAUCCAUUUCAUUUUUAGUAAAAGUAGGUGGGACCCUUGCUCCAAUUUAAUUAUUUUAACACUCAUAUAAAAAGUGGGACCCUGCCUUAUUCUACUCACAACACACCAAUCAUUUUAAUAAAACUCGUGUCACUCUCAAAUAAAUACUAAAAUAUGGGACGGAGGGAGAGUACUUUUUUUAGGAUAACAUAGACCUUAUACUUUAUUCUUCUAAUUCAACCUAUAAAUUUAUUUUAUUUAUUAAAAAUUAUCUUAUAAUUCACACCUAAUCCUUAUUAUUCAACUCUAAUGCGCAUUUAUCAAAUAUUUUGCUAAAAUUAAUAAUUAAUUUAAUACUAUUAUACAGAAAUUUUCGGAAGAAUAUUUAGUAAAAGGGAAAAAGCUGUUUAUAAAUGACGCCGUAUAGGUUAAAAGAAAACAACGUCGUUCCUCUAGCCGGUCGGUCUUAUCACUCUAGAUAUUCCGGUGUCCAUGUCCAAUUUCUCGAGUCUGAAACAUUAAGAAAAAAUUUACAGGUUGUGGAUUGCUACGUAAAAUUAAAAGAUCGUGGAAAAGUCACAAAAAAAAUGAAACUUCGUGAUUUACAAGCAAUUAGCCUAUAAAAAUAAAAGUUCAUUAAUGUUAUUUUAUAAUGAAAUUGUGAAAUGUUGUGAAUAAAAUUUAUUUUAAAUAUGGUAUUUAUUUUAGAAAGGAGGAAUAUAGUGAGUAAAAACUUGUAAUGCAUAUGAUGUGGUGCUCCACUCUUAUCACAAAACACUCUUUGAUUCAUGAGAAAUUAAAUUCUUCUUUUCUAUUUUGCCUUUCUUUUUCUUUACUUAUAUGAUAAUGCUUUGUGGUUCAUCAUUAUUUUUUCAUGAUUUCUUUUCUCGCGGCUUUCAAAAUUAAGGAAUUUUUAUCAUGCUAGGGUUCUUAUUAUUUUUCCUUGACUUUUCAAAAUGAAGAGAAUUUAUGCGUAUUGAUUUUUCUAUGCAGCUAUGUAAUAAUCUAGCAUAGAAUGGUCCCGCAUUAAAUUUACACAUCAAUCUUCCCCAACUCGAUUUUAAUUAGCAAUGAAUUCCAUGCAUGAGAAAUUAGAUAAUGACUAUUUGACUUAAAUACAAUUGGCUCACGGUUAUUAUGGAUAUAUAAUUAGGAUGUAUAAUACUCUCCCUUGUUCAUUUUAUAUGUAGGUGUGCAUAUUUAUUAAGGUUGCGUUUACUUUAAUGGAUAAAUUUAUCCAUGGAAAAUGAUGGAUAACAAAAAUUUAUGUCUUAAAAUGUUUCAUUUCUUUUUCAACAUUUGUCAGAUGUUUACCAUUUUUCCUUCCUUAUUUUUACUUCAAGGAUGGAUAAUAUUAUCCACUCAAAAAUGGAUGGCUAAUAUUAUCCAUCCUUGAAGUGAAAAUAAGGAAGGAAAAAUGACGAACAUUUCUUUUGUGUGUCAAAUGUUGGAAAAGAAAGAAGACAUUUCAAAGUAUAAAAUUUUGUUAUACUUCAUUUUCCAUGGAUAAAUUUAUCCAUCAAAGUAAACGCAAACUAAGAAGAAAAUAUUGUAUCUAAAUGAACCUCAUUUAAUGACACUCUAUUCCUAUUGACUUCCACUAUUUUGGUAUAAGAAAUUAAAAAGAAUGGAAAAUGAGAAUAUGCAUUGAUGAAAUAAAUAAGAGUAGAUUUGGCAAGAAAAUUCAAAACGUCAAUUAAAUUGUCAAAAAUUAAAAAUCACCAAACAACAUAUUAAAAAAAAUCAGAGAGAGUAUAUAUAAGAGCACCCACAUCAAUUGAUUCCAUAGCUUAACUCGAGUUAGCUGAUGCCAUGAGUCAAUUGAUGCAGGCCUUGCUGAGUCGAGGCUUGACUCGUUCUAUUGAGUCAAGCUCAUGCGCCAUAAUCCAAAGCGUGUUCUACACGCUAUAAUUUUUUUUAAAUAGAUUUUGUAAAUUAAUAUGCAACUGUUAUUUGUAACUGCACUUGGCCGAUUUUUAUUUUUAUCCUUUUUUAUUUAUAUGUUUAUUUUAAUUUAUGUUUAUUUUUUUAUUUUAUGUAUUUUAAAUGUUAGUAAUUUAAAUUAAUGUAAUUUUAAGUUGGAGCUAUAUAAAUGAGUUAUUUAGAAGUAUUUUUAAUAUCAGAUUUAGAAUGUGAGUUAAAGAUUUAUUGAUACGUCAUCAUGUUCUUUCAAAUUAUUUUUUAUAAAUUUAUUGAUUUAUUACAAUUUUUAAAGUAUAAUAGCUAUAAAAGGUUAUAAUAGUUAGUACAAUUAUAAUUAUUUUUAUUAUUUUUUAAAAUAAAAAGGUUAUAAUAAGAAAAUUGAGUUGCAUUUAAAAUUAUACAUAUAUAAAAGGGCCUUAGUGGGUUGCUAAGUGUUAGGCCCAACAAGAGAAAUAAAGAGAUCCACUAAAGGGUGAUUUCAUGUAUAAAGCCCAUUGUUACCUUAAAAGAAUUUGUAAAACUAAUAAAUGUUUAAUUAGUAGUAUUAUUUAUGAUUCAACUUUUAACUCCAUAGUUACUUCAUUGCUUAAAAAAAAACAAAUAUAGUCCAACUUUUACCUUGUUACUUAUGGCUUAUUAGUCUAAUGGAGAAUUAAAUUAAAACGUCGACAUUUUGUCUAAUUAAGAAAAGGAUUAUUUAUUUAAUUAUGGCUUGAUCGAGCUGUAAUAUAUUAUUUCUCAUAAUGUAAAUAUUUCAAUCAAUUUAGUAUAUAUGAAAAACUUCAAUUGACGAUUGUUACUAAAUUCUUUUACCAAUGGUUACUCUUCUAGAAAAUAAAUGCUUUAUAUAAAUUGGUAUGCUGAAUAUAUCAAUUUAGUAUCCAUCAUGACUAGCUGAAGUGACGUAGGCAUCUAACUAUGUUAUUUAGUAGAUUGAUCGUUUAAUCAAUGUAAACAUUUCAUGUGUCCACCUCAACAUUAAUAUGGAAGCAAUUAGUUGACAAUCGUAUGAAAAAUCAGAACUAUUGAAAGUUCGUUUAUCCGCAUAAUUUUUAUCCAUACACGGAACCAAAAUUAGGUGAAAGUUUAUGUAUUUAAGUGCAAUUACCCUAUCUAACUAUUACAAAUUUCAUUACAUACCAAAACUAAUCUUAGAAGUAAUUAGAUUUCAUCCAAAUUCACAAAUAGCUCUAGUUUGCUAUAGAUUUCAUCCAAAUACAUAUUUUCUGGAUAUAUAUAACUUCUAACAAUCGCAGUCGCAAAUAGUUAAGCUGCAAGAAUGCAUGCAUAAGCACAUCAUGAGCUUAGCAUUUAGCAAAAGGUAAGCUGCAAGAAUGCACGUCAUCAGCUUAGCAUGCAUUUAGCAACACACACAUAUACUAAUAUUCAUGCAAU
RNAcentral lists this long non-coding RNA (9347 nucleotides) under Salvia miltiorrhiza (redroot sage). Its description in RNAcentral is "long non-coding RNA (SMIL_LNC011928)". The record is from RNAcentral. Lineage: Eukaryota; Viridiplantae; Streptophyta; Magnoliopsida; Lamiales; Lamiaceae.